AGCAGCCGCGGUAAUUCCAGCUCCAAUAGCGUAUAUUAAAGUUGUUGCAGUUAAAAAGCUCGUAGUUGAAUUUCGGGAGCCGCGGGUCGGUUGGGCUUAACUGUCCAUCACUGGCUCCGCGGGUCUCUUACCUUCUGGCGAGGUCAGAUGUCAUUUAUUUGGUGUCUGGCGGAACCAGGACCAUUACCUUGAAAAAUUGAGUGUUUAAAGCAGGCUUUAUCGUCUGAAUACAUUAGCAUGGAAUAAUAAAAUAGGACGGCUAAGGGUUCUACUUUGUUGGUUUCCAGGACCACCGUAAUGAUUAAUAGGGAUAGUUGGGGGCAUUAGUAUUCAAUUGUCAGAGUGAAAUUCUUGGAUUUAUUGAAGCUAACUACUGCGAAAGCAUCUGCCAAGGAUGUUUUCAUUAAUCAAGAACGAAAGUUAGG
Molecule: ribosomal RNA, 425 nt
Filed under: uncultured Paraglomus
Lineage: Eukaryota; Fungi; Glomeromycota; Glomeromycetes; Paraglomerales; Paraglomeraceae
Description: bacterial SSU rRNA
Rfam family: Eukaryotic small subunit ribosomal RNA
Source: RNAcentral